Molecule: small RNA, 76 nt
Filed under: Flavobacterium resistens
Lineage: Bacteria; Pseudomonadati; Bacteroidota; Flavobacteriia; Flavobacteriales; Flavobacteriaceae
Description: Flavo-1 RNA
Rfam family: Flavo-1 RNA
Source: RNAcentral
UUUUAGCCCCGAUGGAAGUGACAUCCUUUUGUGGUGGUGUUCACCACAAAAGAUAUAGCGAACAACGGGAUCAGCU